AUGGCUGAGUCUGCUGUUAAGGCCGUGGUCGGGAAUGUGAGCAAACUUGCGGUUUGGGAAACCUCACUUUUAUGUGGUGUCACAGGUGAAGUAGGAUUCUUGAAAGAUGAACUGAAGCGGUUAAAGUGCUACCUUAGAUCUGCUGAUGCUAAACGGAAAUCAGGAGACGAGUGUGUGGCUACCUGGCUCAGCCAGAUCAGGGACGUGACAUAUGAGUCCGAGAAUGUCAUUGAAGCUGCAGAUUACAUGGAGAAGAGAAACAGGCUGAAGAAUGGAUUCUUGGGUGCCAUUUCAAGGUAUGCUCGCUUGCCAAGUGACAUGGUUACCCUUCAUAAAGUUGGUGUUGAAAUUCAGCGUAUAAGAAGGAAGAUCAGUGAGAUAUUUGACAGUGCAAACCGUUUGAAUAUUGAUUUAGAUACUAGUGUUCUAGGUAAGUGUUGUGUCGAGGAUGAGUUUCCACGAGGCAAUGAUCUCAUGGAUCAAAACUUUGAGGAUGAUGUUGUCAUUGUUGGUUUUGAGGAUGAGUGCCAGGAAAUAACGGACAGGUUAGUCGACAAAGAGAACAAUACUCUUAGUGCUAUCUCCAUAGUUGCCAUGGGUGGGGCGGGAAAAACAUCACUCGUCAGAAAAAUCUACACUUCAUCAAGAGUAAAAGAACACUUCGACACAGUUGCUUGGGUGACUGUGUCUCAAAAGUUCAAGGCCGUUGAUUUACUCACAAGUAUUGUGGGACAAAUAAUGGGGGCCAGAGUUGGUUUUAAUAUCUGUGAGUGUGAGGUGGGAAAGGAGAUACAUAAUUUUCUGUUGCAAAAAAGAUUCUUAAUAGUUCUUGAUGAUGUUUGGGAAACAGAUACAUGGGAGCAAAUAAACAAAAUGGUUAAAGCAUUUCCAGAUGUAGCUAAUGGUAGUCGAGUGCUGUUAACCACACGAAAGCAAGAUGUUGCGAAUCAUGUGCAAAUGCCAACUCAUGUCCAUCAUUUGAAGAAGUUAGACGAAGAGAAAAGUUGGGAACUUUUUAGUAGCAAAGCUUUACCAUCAUACAGCAGGUGUGCUGUAUGUGAUGUGGAUGAGUUUGAAGAACUAGGAAAGAAGCUUGCAAAGAAAUGUAAUGGAUUACCGCUUGCACUUGCAGUUUUUGGGGGUUAUCUAUCAAAAAAUCUGAACAGAGAAACAUGGAUCAAUAUACUCUUGAGCUGGCCAUCAACCAAAGACGGACAGAUGAUGCGAGACAUACUAGCUCGCAGUUACAACGACCUACCAGAUCAUUAUUUAAGAUCAUGUUUCCUCUAUGUUGGUGCUUUCCCCGAGGAUUAUGAAAUAUCUGUGUCGGAUCUUAUUGAGUUAUGGAUAGCAGAAUGCUUCAUUCCACAUACACCAAAACAUACACUGGAAGAAAUAGCACGUAAGUAUGUAACUGAGUUAGCUCAAAGAAGCUUGGUCCAAGUAGUUAGUAGAAGCAGAGCACAUGGAUGGAUUGAAAGAAUAAGGAUCCAUGAUAUCUUGCGUGACUGGUGCAUAGAAGAAGCAAGAGAAGACGGCUUUCUUGAUAUGAUUGACAAAACUGCAUGCUGGGAUAGCGCAUCAUCAUUCGAAAGGACGCUAUCCUAUCGCGCUUCAUUCCAAAACUUCAGCGGUCAGAUUUUACAGGCAACAACUCCUAAUCUACGAACUCUGGUUGGCUUUGAACUUUCAUCAAUAUUCCUACCUAAGCUGAGAUUCCUGAGAGUUCUUCACAUUGAAAACUCAGACCUCGAGAAUUUCUCUCCAGCCAUUGGUGGGUGCAUUCAUCUAAGGUGCCUUAGGUUGAGAAGAUGUGGAAAUGUAACACUCCCUUCUUCAAUUGAAGAACUCCUUUACUUGCAGAUUAUAGACCUGAGGAAAACAAACUUGGACUCAACACUACCAAACUCUCUCUGGAACAUUCCCACUCUAAGGCAUGUUUACCUGAGCAGUGCAUUUUCUUCACCAAGGAGUGUGGGACACAAAGAGCUCCAGACCUUAUGGUUGACUUGUGCGUCUGUUGGUACCAAAUAUCGCUAUCAUGACAUGGUGACGUUUUUGAGAAAAAUGAGACAACUAACAACCUUGUUCUUGGUAAUGAAGCCCAUGCAUGCUAAGAUAAUGAAUAUAUUUGCGUACAUGCCUCACCUGGUUGAUAUUCAUCUCGCCAGUUUUGGUGUGCUUGAUAAGCUUCCAGAGAGUAAUCACUUCCCGCAGAGCCUUCGGCAUCUCUAUCUAGAAGCUGAUGUCAUUGAACUAGACCCGAUGCCGAUCCUGGAGAAGCUUCCUUGUCUUGUGGUGUUGGAGUUGUCAGGGUAUAAAGGCCGAACCAUGUCAUUUUCUGCCCAAGGGUUUCCUCGUCUCCAAGAGUUAAAACUUGAUAAUUUCUCCGUCGAGGAGUGGAGGAUGGAGGUAGGAACAAUGCCAAAGCUCUCCCACCUGAAACUUUGGUUGUGCAAGGAGAUGUGGAAGUUACCCAACGGAUUGUUGCACCUUCCAUCCCUCACGAAUUUGAAAUUAGUCAGUAAGUCCCCGAUUUCUUGA
Molecule: ribosomal RNA, 2544 nt
Filed under: Triticum aestivum (bread wheat)
Lineage: Eukaryota; Viridiplantae; Streptophyta; Magnoliopsida; Poales; Poaceae
Description: partial small subunit ribosomal RNA
Source: RNAcentral